RNAcentral lists this long non-coding RNA (237 nucleotides) under Capsella rubella. Its description in RNAcentral is "long non-coding RNA (CRUB_LNC000316)". The record is from RNAcentral. Lineage: Eukaryota; Viridiplantae; Streptophyta; Magnoliopsida; Brassicales; Brassicaceae.
UUUUUCUUAACUUGUAGCUCAUAUGCCUGCAUCAUCCCAACUACUUGAUCGAAUUUCAACUCAUCAGAAUUCAACGAGACAUCAAUUGCAGACCUAUGUGGCUGAAACUUCUCUGGCAGACUUCUGAGAAAUUUUUUAACCAACUUCUUAUCUUUAUAGCGUUUUCCCAACACUAUAGCCUCUUGAGAGAUGUUACUCAGCUUGCUGCUGAAUUCCUCAAUAGUCUCACUAUCUCCC